AAAAAACAACAACAAACCAUUCGUCCUGCAAACCCGACGAUCGAUUUUAAAGCCACCUUCGUUAAGGACAGGAGAGAAAAAGGAAAGUUUGAGGUUGGGUGAAACCUUUAUUUAAUCACUAAGAAGCUACAAGUAAGACGAGAUUCCGAGUUCCUUGUUUGUAACUUUUUAGGGAUCCGAUAGAGAACUUGCUCAGUCUGGGACGUCGUUGCUGUAAAUAGAUUAUACCGCAAUAUACAGAUAUAGGUAUAGGGACUUCAACCUCAUUCCUCCUGCAUCUGGCAUGAAAUCAGUCUUUGAGCCUUCGACAUUGCAGAAGUUAACCGUGCCAGAAUGGAUACAUCAAGUCUUCCGAUUCUUAACAAAGCCUUGGAUAUCUGAUACAGAGAUGCAUUGCUUCACACAGCCACAUGUAGACCAGGGGAUGUAUAGAACAUUGUACAUGGUCGACUACAAGCCCUAUGCGGAACAUCAUCAGUGGCGUCCCAUGAUGGACCCUUCACAGAGACUAAAACUGGAAGCCCAGCUGAAGGAGAAGGAGCUUGCAAGGCCUGUUCAGAAGAAACCGGUGAAAUAUGUUGAGGAGCCUGGCUGUCAAGAAGUUCAGCCACCUUAUCCUGUAGGAAUGGUUGGGAGGGCCUCAAAAGGCCUAGAAGCUCCACCGCCAAACCAACAAGCCCAAGAAGAACAAUGGAACCACUCCCUUCCUCUUGCUGAUCCAACUGCAAUUCAAGAAAAGGAAGCUGAGAGAUUAGCUCAGCUGGCAGAUGCUAUUGCUCUGACAGGUAAAGAGGCAUGGGACCCUUUCCCAUUCAGGCCCUUCAACCUUUCAUUCAUAUGUGGUUUGGAGUGGGAACAAGGAAACAAGUGUAGUGAAUGUAGCUGGCUGCUGUAUAGGGCGGGCCUGCUUGCAAAAUUU
This 919-nucleotide long non-coding RNA is filed under the name Pogona vitticeps (central bearded dragon). Its description in RNAcentral is "lncRNA (ENSPVIG00000003761.1)". Lineage: Eukaryota; Metazoa; Chordata; Lepidosauria; Squamata; Agamidae. The record is from RNAcentral.